This 267-nucleotide ribosomal RNA is filed under the name uncultured bacterium. Its description in RNAcentral is "partial 16S ribosomal RNA". It matches the Rfam family "Bacterial small subunit ribosomal RNA", at positions 793 to 1055 of the family's 1533-position model. The record is from RNAcentral.
GUCCACGCCGUAAACGAUGAAUGCCAGCCGUUAGUGGGUUUACUCACUAGUGGCGCAGCUAACGCUUUAAGCAUUCCGCCUGCGGAGUACGGUCGCAAGAUUAAAACUCAAAGGAAUUGACGGGGGCCCCGCACAAGCGGUGGAGCAUGUGGUUUAAUUCGACGCAACGCGCAGAACCUUACCAGCCCUUGACAUCCCGGUCGCGGACUCCAGAGAUGGAGUCCUUCAGUUCGGCUGGACCGGAGACAGGUGCUGCAUGGCUGUCGU